ACUCCUACGGGAGGCAGCAGUGGGGAAUAUUGGACAAUGGGCGCAAGCCUGAUCCAGCCAUGCCGCGUGAGUGAUGAAGGCCCUAGGGUUGUAAAGCUCUUUCACCGGUGAAGAUAAUGACGGUAACCGGAGAAGAAGCCCCGGCUAACUUCGUGCCAGCAGCCGCGGUAAUACGAAGGGGGCUAGCGUUGUUCGGAUUUACUGGGCGUAAAGCGCACGUAGGCGGACUAUUAAGUCAGGGGUGAAAUCCCGGGGCUCAACCCCGGAACUGCCUUUGAUACUGGUAGUCUUGAGUUCGAGAGAGGUGAGUGGAAUUCCGAGUGUAGAGGUGAAAUUCGUAGAUAUUCGGAGGAACACCAGUGGCGAAGGCGGCUCACUGGCUCGAUACUGACGCUGAGGUGCGAAAGCGUGGGGAGCAAACAGGAUUAGAAACCCGAGUAGUCC
This 444-nucleotide ribosomal RNA is filed under the name uncultured organism. RNAcentral's name for it is "partial 16S ribosomal RNA". It matches the Rfam family "Bacterial small subunit ribosomal RNA", at positions 335 to 796 of the family's 1533-position model. The record is from RNAcentral.